This 370-nucleotide RNase P RNA is filed under the name Candidatus Ancillula glyptotermitis. RNAcentral describes it as "RNase P RNA component class A". It matches the Rfam family "Bacterial RNase P class A". From Rfam's summary of the family: Ribonuclease P (RNase P) is a ubiquitous endoribonuclease, found in archaea, bacteria and eukarya as well as chloroplasts and mitochondria. Its best characterised activity is the generation of mature 5'-ends of tRNAs by cleaving the 5'-leader elements of precursor-tRNAs. Cellular RNase Ps are ribonucleoproteins. The record is from RNAcentral. Lineage: Bacteria; Bacillati; Actinomycetota; Actinomycetes; Bifidobacteriales; Bifidobacteriaceae.
UGAGUUGUUUGGGCAAUCGCGUGUUUUUCACGAGGAACUUCUGGACUACAUAGAACAGCGUGGUUGUUAACUGCAACCGAGGGUGACCUUAGGGAAAGUGCCACAGAGACUAUACCGCUUUUAGUGUGCAAGUACAAAAAGCAAGGGUGAAAAGAGUUGGGGUAAGAGCCCACAGCACACAUGGUGACAUGUUCUAAUUGUAGAAUUUAUGUGAAUGGUAAACCCCACGCGUAGCAAGGUCAAGCAGAAUUUAAGGUUGUUCGCUCAGUAAAUUCGGGUAGACCGCUUGAGCCUAUGAGCAAUUAUAGGCCUAGAUAGAUGAUUGCCACCAGUUAUGGUACAGAAUCCAGGGUAUAGAACAACUCAUCCA